UACGUAGGUGACCAGCGUUGUCCGGAUUUACUGGGCGUAAAGAGCGCGCAGGCGGUCGUUCAAGUCGAGUGUGAAAGCCCCCGGCUCAACUGGGGAGGGUCACUCGAUACUGAUCGACUUGAAGGCAGGAGAGGGAAGCGGAAUUCCCGGUGUAGUGGUGAAAUGCGUAGAUAUCGGGAGGAACACCAGUGGCGAAGGCGGCAUCCUGGACCGGUAUUGACGCUGAUGCGCGAAAGCCAGGGGAGCAAACGGG
This 253-nucleotide ribosomal RNA is filed under the name uncultured bacterium. RNAcentral describes it as "partial 16S ribosomal RNA". It matches the Rfam family "Bacterial small subunit ribosomal RNA", at positions 524 to 776 of the family's 1533-position model. The record is from RNAcentral.